CCUACGGGUGGCAGCAGUGGGGAAUAUUGCACAAUGGGGGAAACCCUGAUGCAGCGACGCCGCGUGAGUGAAGAAGUAUUUCGGUAUGUAAAGCUCUAUCAGCAGGGAAGAAAAUGACGGUACCUGAUUACGAAGCCUCGGCUAAAUAAGUGCCAGCAGCCGCGGUAAUACGUAGGGGGCAAGCGUUAUCCGGCUUUACUGGGUGUAAUGGGAGCGUAGCCGGCAGCACAAGUCUGGAGUGAAAUGCCGGGGCUUAACCCCGGAACUGAUGUUGAAACUGUGCAGCGAGAGUGCAGGAGAGGUAAGUGGAAUGCCUAGUGUAGCGGUGAAAUGCGUAGAUAUUAGGAGGAACACCAG
Molecule: ribosomal RNA, 357 nt
Filed under: uncultured bacterium
Lineage: Bacteria
Description: partial 16S ribosomal RNA
Rfam family: Bacterial small subunit ribosomal RNA
Source: RNAcentral